UGUCUCACUUUGAAUUCUUUUAUAUGUUUCUGGUUUAAAACUUAAUGUCUGGGAUGUUCCACCUUCGUAUUCAUCCAUUUGGUAAUAGUCUUUUUCCGUUAUUUCUUCUUUUUUGUCCAUUAAUAAAAAUAAAUAUAUGUCUUCUUAUUAAUCUCCUUUAUAUGUUUAUUUAUAGUUUCUUUUACUAAAUCUAUAUUUUGUCUAUCUAUUUCUUUACCUAAUUCUGGAUAAGUUUUAUACGAUUGACUAUUUACAAUUUCAUUUAAAUAAUCUAGCAUU
This 279-nucleotide long non-coding RNA is filed under the name Daucus carota (carrot). RNAcentral's name for it is "long non-coding RNA (DCAR_LNC003657)". The record is from RNAcentral. Lineage: Eukaryota; Viridiplantae; Streptophyta; Magnoliopsida; Apiales; Apiaceae.